This 233-nucleotide ribosomal RNA is filed under the name uncultured bacterium. RNAcentral describes it as "partial 16S ribosomal RNA". It matches the Rfam family "Bacterial small subunit ribosomal RNA", at positions 118 to 347 of the family's 1533-position model. The record is from RNAcentral.
UGAGGAACAUGACCUUCGGCGGGGGAUAGCCGGCCCAACGGCCGGGUAAUACCGCGUACGACCACUCGGGGACAUCCCUAGGUGGUGAAAGCAGCAAUGCGCCGAUGGAGUGCCUCGCGGCCUAUCAGCUAGUUGGUGAGGUAACGGCUCACCAAGGCGACGACGGGUAGCUGGUCUGAGAGGAUGGCCAGCCACAUUGGGACUGAGACACGGCCCAGACUCCUACGGGAGCA